This is a non-coding RNA of Paramuricea clavata, 10824 nucleotides long. Lineage: Eukaryota; Metazoa; Cnidaria; Anthozoa; Malacalcyonacea; Plexauridae. The record is from the annotation of a GenBank genome assembly.
AGAAGACAAGAUGGCGCCGGUUACUUCGUGUCAUCAAAGGGCAUUUUUGUUCACAAAUAUACCCGCUUAUUUUACGUUAUAGCGACUGGUUAGUUUUGGAAAUUAUAACUCAAUGGACAGGGAAAACGAUUCUGUAUUAAAGAGAAAAAGAUGUGCAGUUAUUGUGAUGUUAUUUGUUGUGAAAGACGGCCCGAAAUUUCGCUACUUCGCUGUACUGGUUUAUAAAACAUUUACAAGCAACAGCAAUUGAACUAUAUGACAAAGAAAUCAAUGUAUACAAGCCAGUAAAGUUCUUCAGUUUAAAGGUCAGUUUACUUUUUAAUAAUUAGUUCAUUUAGUUGUAUUUAAUACGAAUUACGAAGUAUUAGAUACUAGUAAAAACUUUUUUAUACGAAGUGGCUGUUCGUACUGGAACAGUACGCCGAGUUUGAUUUGCUAUUCGUACUGCAAUCGUAAUAUUUACGAUAAACCUGACCCCAAACCCUUCCCUAACCAAUAAAGGCCUAAUAAACUAUUUGAAAGUUUUUUAUUUCGAGAAAAAAAAAUUAAAAUAUUUUAAGAAAAAUUUCUAAGUCAAACAGACAACCGACGGCUAAAACUAAACCCGGACCUGACCUCGUUUCACUUCACGCACGCAACGCCUUUGCUGAAUCCACUACCAGCCUUGAAAGCUAUUGCAAAAAACUAUUUUAGGCCACAUAAAAAAAGUAGUUGGUUAGCGUCCUUAGCUUUUGCCAAAAAGUGGGCGGGCGGGUGCUUUUUUUAAAAUUUUUACUUAUUUUUAAUGUCUUGGUUUUAGGUCCGAAACUGGAUUUUCUUGUGCAGUACAGAUAUUUUUUUAUAUAUUGGGUCGUUCCAUAAAAGAUCCAUCCCCCCCCCCCCCACGGAGGAAAUUUUUGCUGUCCGAAGGGGGAGGGAGGAAAAAUGUCUUAGGAUGUCCGAAGGGGGGGAGAGGAAAAAUGUCUUAGGAUGUCCGAAGGGGGGGAGAGGAAUGUGGAUAUGUUUGUCUGAAGGUUUGAGACUGUGAUAAAGCUAUGUGAUCGGCGAUUAUAAUGAGCACGCAAUUUUUAUCGGCUAUAUGUAGCUCUUGAACACCGGAACGUUUAUGUAACAGCAAUAAUUAUACGUCCACGUAACUCGUAAGCAAAAUAAGCGGCCCACUUUUGCAUGCAUGGCCACCAAAAACUAACUCGCUGUAACAGCAUAUCCUGCAUGUUGAGAAUGAGUCGAAAAUUGACACGCUUUAUUUAUAUAGUCUAUAUAGUUUGCAGUUUUCGUUCGUAUAUAUAAGUUUGAAUUAUUCAAGUGUUGAAAAUAAUUAUAGUUAUUAAACUGUUGCUCGAAUUAAGAGACUGCUAUGUGAACUGAACUCAAAACAAUUUGUUUUGGUAUAUAGUCAAUAAGGCUUCCUUGCAAUUUGUGUGUCUAGAAAAUAGAAAUGGCUUUCAUAUUAAGGGCGAGGUUAAGGAAUGCCGUAAUACUAAAAAAUGCAUUAACCUGUAAGUAAACAUAGCAACGCUUGUCAAUCAGUCGCAAAUUACAUCGAAUUUCAGUCAUCGAAUUUUACUUGAACGAAUUUCAAAGUGAAUUUCUGCAAAUUAUCCGACAAAACCUGCCACAUGUUUGUGUUCGCAAGUCACAAGAAGCCGCCAAGUGUUCUGCCACGCCGGAGCUAUUUGAAAACAGCGUAGAAAAGACGCAAUAAGCCAUCGCUAAUUCACUUUGCGCUGGAGCGAAAUCGUUUGAAAAAUUUAACAUCAGUUUUGCUGUAACAAUUUGAGCACGGUUUCUAAACGGAGCGAGGUGAAAACGGCGGAGCGCUUGAUAGCUUCCUGUGAACACCAGACGUGUAACCUCGAAUGCUUUUCAGUUAAAUUUCUUGGGUCUAUUUGAAAUAUUUUGGGUUUACAUGAGUGUUAAUUCAAUUUGUAAACAAACUGUAAUGGCGGUAGUGUGAACACACGUAAAUUCUGCCCGCAUUAGUUCGCUUGUGCGUAGUGUGAACGUAUGUAGUCUAAUUUUCGGUGACGUCUUCAAACGGCGAGGUAGCCUUUAGCAAAAUUUAGAAAUAGUGGAUGUCCGAAGGGGAGGGGGGUAAUUUUGGGCUUUGAAGUCCGGAGAGGGGGGGAGGAUGAACCAUUCAAGGAUGUCCGAAGGGGGGAGGGGGUUAUUUUCGAUUUCCUCCGUAGGGGGGUAUGGAUCUUUUCUGGAAUGACGCAUUUCAAAAUAUGAUUCAUACAUUAAUUAACACAAUUGACUACAGUCAACAGAAAUACUACAUAUAUUAGAGCCUGUUGAUCAAUAAAAGUUGGUUUUUUUAAAUAAAAAAUUUAAAAAAACCCUGAGCGGGGCCUUUUUUGUGGGCGGACGAGGAUGCUAACCAACUAUUUUUUUAUGCAGCCUUAUAUUACUACCCUACAAAAUGUAAGAAUCGGGUGCCAUACUUCAGUACAAUUAUUGGGUCAUACUAAUUACCGAUAACGCUUGCAGGCCUUAAAAUAUCUUUUACAGGGCCGUCUGACAAAAUGUCCGGUGACGUUGAAUUUGGGUCGGACAUAUGUCCGAUGACCUUCAGUUCAGUUUUGACUCGGAAAUAAGUCUGAAUGACACAAAUGAAUAAAUGGUAAAUGUUGUAAAGAUAUUAAAUAAUUUGUUCCUUUCAUACUUAUUUCCAAGCCAAAAUUAACUUGCUUUCCAGAACAGCAGUAUUAAAAAUAGACUUCGACAACUUAAGCCCGUUUUCCACUUCACCAUUUCGCUCGCCGCCCCGCGCUCGACUACGUAAAAACAACAUUUCCAGUUCACCUUUUAUACAAUAGUACUCUGAUUUUCCAUUUAACAUACAAGCCUCUAGUCCUGGGCUAGGGUACAUUUUGAUUUACGUCGGACAAAGCUACAGUUCGGUCGGACACCAAUACACUCGGGUCGGACAAACAAUAAACCUCAGUUUCACCUUGGUCGGACAGAAUGUCCGGUGGUUUCCUUUCUACGUCGGACAACUUCACGAAUGGGUCGGACAAUGUCCGUGACCGACCGAUAUUUUAAGGCCUGCAAGCAGACGAUUACCGACAACAAGCUGACAAUUACCGACAACAAGCUGAAAAAUACCGACAACAAGCAAAUACAUACUUUCAUUGUAUUCUUAUAGUUAUUUGGUUGUUUUUGAGGAAACCCAAAAUAUAUAAGUUCGACAGAUUUUGUCAAACAUUGUUGAGUUAAAACAUUCCGCUAUUAAAGAUGACGGAUUCGUGUAGGCAGACGCCAUAUACCGUCGAUUGCAACUAAGCGUAAACAUGUCAUGAGAAAAUGCAUCCAAUUGGCUGUCAAACAUGAUUUUUUUUAUUUCAAACAUCACAUGAUUUUACUGCAAACAUUUACGUUUUAACUGUCAACUGUCAAUAUUCCAAAUUUAGAAGCACAUUCAUAUUGGGCGGGGAUUAGCUUGCAAACACUAAAUCUGCGAUUAAAUUCGUCUGAAUUAAAUUGGAUGUAUGAAACAUGCCUUAGCAGGUGAAGUUCUAACAUGCUGUGAGUUUUGCAUUUAUAGUGGACAAAGUAUUGUCAGUAUUGUUUGCAAUGUUUGUACUAACUACGUUUUCGCGGGAAAAAGAAUUAUAAACCGUCCAAUGUUUGCAGCAAAAUCAUGUAAAGUUUGAAGUCCAAACAAAAUUUCAAGUAGAAAAUCAGUAUUAACUACCCUAUUAUCUAUAAUAAUAUAACUACCAACUUCUAUAAAGUGUGUAUGUGUAUACUGUAUAAUGUGUCUAAAAUGUUUAAUAGUAACAAGCAAAAACAAGCUAUAAAUUAUUUACAUCAAUUCAUGUAUGUAUUUGGGUUUCCUCAAAAACAGCCAUGCAUUCAUACAAAUAACUAUAAGAAUACAAUGAAAGUAUGUAUUUGCUUGUUGUCGGUAUUUUUCAGCUUGUUGUCGGUAAUUGUCAGCUUGUUGUCGCAGUAAUUGUGUGCUUGUUGUCGGUAAUUGUCAGCUUGUUGUCGCAGUAAUUGUGUGCUUGUUGUCUGUAAUUGUCUGCUUGUUGUCGGUUGUUGAUGGUGGUUGUCGGUAAUUAGUACGACCACGAUUAUUAUUAGUUCAAUCGAAAAAUAAUUUAUUUCGCAUUUGGUACGUUUUACGAUUGAUCACGAAGAUCAGCAGAUAUUUCUAUACGCUUGCUAGAUAUUUACUAUUGAAUUUUCCAAACUUUCCAGUCAGGCAAAGUUCUACCCCACACCAUGGAAUUUCAUUUCAGCACCCUAUAUCAUUCUAGAAUGUCUGUAUUAAUCAUUUCAGCAACUUCGGCUAGCUUGCACUGUUUUUGCUAAAUACCGCUCACAGGCUGUUGUCCAAGGGGGGCACCCUCUGUCAUUUGCCCUCUAUGCAACUUUGCUGACCCCAUCCCUGCAACUUUGUGUUGUAGUACGAUUAUUGUAUGUGACUUUUCCAGCCGAGAGAUAUAUUAGACCCUCUUUCUACUUUUUUUUACAUUGCCUUGGUCACACUUUGAACAGGAUGCGUACCAUCGCAUUGUGUAGAUCAGGGGUCUUCACCCCUUUUUUUCGGCGACCCAAACCCAAGCUUCAUAGGUGUCCCGCGACCCUGAACACUGCCAAUAAAACUUUCGAUAAUUAAAAACAUUAUGGCUUUUCACCGAAAGCUUCCGAGUGUAUGACGGCGACUCUACUUCGGAAGACGACGUGCGCCGAAGGCGCGCCGAGUGGUGCUAAGCCAUAAUGUUUGAGUUACAUGAAGUAAAAGGUAUUAUAUCUAAAGCUUUACCAGUUUACCUGUUUACCAUAUUAUUCUAGCAAUCUAGCGCUUGAGUGCUUCAUAAUAAUCGUGAAAAAACAUUAUAAUCGCAAAUUUCGCAAGGAAAUAUUCAUAUGUAAAUAUGUGCAUCUUAUCACUUGAUCUCUCGUCUUGUAAAGUUUACUAGUGUAAGUUCGCGACCCUAGACAAGCAUUGCGACCCAUGCGACCCAAGACAAGCCUUGCGACCUUCGAGGGUGUGCUAGCGACCCAAUUUUGGGUCGCGACCCAUGGUUUGAAGACCCCUGGUGUAGAUGGGCCUUAAAAGGCAUUUAACCAGACUAGUUUGAUAUACCAACAACUUUUCCGCUUCCGAUACCAAAUUUCCCAAUUUUGAAACACCCCUUGGAGAAUGUAAUUCCCUCGAUGCAAUGCAGGUGGUUUUAGCUCCAUUUUUUAAGCAUUUUAUAAAGCGUAAUUCUAUGUACGUGCUAUGAAGCUAGUUUUGUUGGCAUGAUUUUUUUGAAAAUUUCAGCGGCCAUGCAUAUUGUUCAAGCCAAAACAAGCUAGGUUACAUCAUGGAUUGUAAAAUAACAUUUAUUUUAUUAUCCAUGGUUAUAUGAAGUAAGGUUUGAACGCAGAGGUUUGAACGUAAGAAAUUACUUUCUAUUCAGUUCUGUAUACAGUUCAGUGGCUCGGACAACUUCAGAUUAUCGCCCGAAGACCUGGGAACGAAGUUGCCGAAUGAAAUAAAUUAAUACUUCAUAUUAAUACUGUAUUUUUGUUGAUUUUAAAAUGUUUAGGGAGCAAACAUUGUUAUGUUACAAUCGUGGUUGGGUCAAACAAUAUGUGGAAAGCAAAAGUAGGGAAGGUAAAGAGAUUAAAAUUGGAUUUAGUGCGUAUUUUUGAAAAAAAAUUGCCAUCAAAUAUGGUAUCCCCCUCCCUCCUCCACAACACUUGUGACGUCAGUUACAUACGGGACUUUGGGGGCGUGUUUUGGCGGGAAAAUCUGUAAUGUUUGGAGAAGACAAGAUGGCGCCGGUUACCUCGUGUUAUAUCAAAGGGCAUUUUUGUUCACAAAUACCCGCUUAUUUUACGUUAUAGCGACUGGUUAGUUUUGGAAAUUAUAACUCAAUGGACGGGGAAAACGAUUCUGUAUCAAAGAGAAAAAGAUGUGCAGUUAUUGUGAUGUUAUUUGUUGUGAAAGACGGCCCGAAAUUUCGCUACUUCGCUGUACUGGAUUAUAAAACAUUUACAAGCAACAGCAAUUGAACUAUAUGACAAAGAAACCAAUAUAUACAAGCCAAUCAAGUUCUUCCGUUUAAAGGUCAGUUUACUUUUUAAUAAUUAGUUCAUUUAGUUGUAUAUUAAUACGAAAUACUGGAACAGUAGUUUGAUGCCGAGUUUGAUUUGCUAUUUGUACUGUAGUCGGAAUAUUUAAGAUAAGGUAUGGAUAAACAGACCCCAACCCCUCUCUAACACUAACCAAUAAAUGUGUAAUGAACUAUUUGAGAAUUAAAAAGGUCACCUCGUCCAGGGGGAAAAAUUUUAAAAUAUUUUAAGAAACAUUUCUACGGGGCUGUUUUAUAUGGAAGCAGGGUUGGCCCGGUAAGCAGGAUGAAUUUUGCUUGCGUUUAAUAGGUAUCCGGUCGUUUCGCCCCCAAUUCGUUUCGCCCCCAAUUCGUUUCGCCCCCAGUCGUUUUGCCCCCAAGUCAUUUCGCCCCCAAGUCAUUUUGCCCCCAAGUUAGCUAGUGAAUUUAAUAUCUCUUACAAAUAAACAAACUCACCCAUAUUUGCGAGUAUUGUGGAGAUAUGGAUCAAACGGCAAACGCACAAAAACCUGUUCACUACGUAACAUUUCAAACUGAAACAAAAGCGCAAAAAGGUUUGACAAAGUCUGUAAUCAAAGCAGUCAUUAGUUUUUACAAUGGACGAAAAAAUCGCACAGCUUGCAAAUAGUUACUCGGUGACAAUGACAACAUUUAUAUGUCUGUGUAUUCUUGACUAUAUUUUUAAUAUAUCCAUCAUUUGAAGUUGUUUGGCAACAAAACGUUGAGACGAAUCGACUUAGCCACUUGGGGGCGAAUCGACUUGGGGGCGAAACGACUUGGGGCAAAUCGACUUGGGGGCGAAACGACUUGUAUUCGUUUAAUAUAUGAGGAAAUUUUAUCCUGCUUGCUGUGCUAGAAAUUGUUUACAAUGCACUCAAUUGGCUUUCCCGGGACAACUUUCAAAAUUAAUUUUUGCUUCAAAACUCACUAUUUUGUAAACAUUGAAGGGUCUCUGUAAAGAACAAAAUUAACCGAAACCGGAAACAAUCGAAACCGGAAAUUUCCACCUAAUUUCCCGCAUAAACCUGUGCAUAAACAAAUUAAUUAUAUUGUUGAUGCUAGAUCACUGGCAUGCCAUUUAGAUAAAUAUCCUCCGAAAUUAUGUCACAAGGUUGUAUACUAUUUAACUGCUGACAAUUUUGUAAAUUAUUCAAUAAUCUUAUUGCAUCUUCCUGAACAAUGCUGGUUUUGUAAAAACGAUAUUGCAUUCACUUUCUCGUUUGACAUCCGAUAUGGCUUCCACUAAAAUGACACGCUCAUGAUUUCAAAAAAAAAAAAUACAUGCUCAUUUACAUGUUUCCAAAUCCCAAUUUAUCUGACUGCAUUUUAAUGGUUCAAAUAUUCAGAACUUUGUUCUUUCAAUCACAAGUAGUACAAGUAUUAUUGCAUUCAAUGGUAGUAUUUUAUUCAGUGUUUCAACGAUCAAACUGCACGGUAAAACUUCCGUCUCUAAGCUCAACUGUGCAAGUCGCAGUAUUUGCAACCUUUUGUUUUGUCUCUUUUACCUAUGUAAUGUCAAGAACUAUAAAAAUAAUUGCAGAAAAGACUUCACACUAUCGAAAAUAUUUCAUCCUGGCAACCGGGCCAAAUUUUCACCUCGGUUGUCCGUAUAAACGCACAGGAUUUUUUAAAUUCUACUACACAGCAAGAUCUCGCCAAGUGGGCCAGCCCAGUCCAAUAUAAACAGCCCCUAUGCCAGAUGCAUUCCAUGUAAAGUCUAUGCCGAAGAUACGCCAAUAUUAACUAUAGGUAGUAUUUCACGCCGAAGAUCUUUGGCUUAGGCCACUUAAAAUGCACCCUGGCCCCUAUGUCAAACAGAAAACCGAUGGCUAAAACAAAACCUGACCCCCAACCUCGUUUCAUUUUGCAUCCACGCUAUGCCUUUGCCAAAUAUGCUACCAGGCUGAAAGCUGUUGCAAAAAACUGUUUUAUAUUACUACUUUACAAAAUGUAAUAAAUUAUUGGAUGCCAUACUUCAGUACGAUUAUUAGUUCGAUAUUAAUAAUUAUUUAUAAGCACUAUUAUACAAGAAAUGUCAACAAUGAAUUUUCCUUCAAUGGUUGCUUUUUAUUGGUCAAAAGUUUAAUAUUGUUUUGACAAGAGAAAUGUUUCUCAACAAUUUUCAGAAAUAAGUUCUUUGAAUAAUUAUUUUUGUUUGUGGAAACACCACGUUAUUACUGCAAAGCUUUCGAUCCGUAAGCCUGGAUCUUCAUCAGUGCACAUAUUAUUAGCACUGAUGAAGAUCUGGGCUUACGGAUCGAAAGCUUUACAGUAAUAACGUGGUGUUUCCACAAACAAAAACAAUUAAUUUUCAGAAAGUUUUAGAAGACUUCUAGAAGGGGUUUGUUUUUAAUUGGGCUAUUCGAUUUAAAAGACGUAACCCCCCUAUCGAGGACAAUGGUUUUACCAUAUCUCUGAAGAAUUCCUGAGAUAGAAGAGAUCCCCUGAAGAAUUCCUGAGAUAGAAGAGAUCCCCUGAAGAAUUCCUGUUAAUUAAAUAGCAUUUACCCCUGAAGAAUUACAAUUUUUACAUCUGACCCCUAAGGAAAUUGCAUUCGAAAUAACGAACCCCUGAAGAAUUCCAUAGGAGAAUUUGUUUACCCAUGAGAAAUUUGGGAGUUAAAAAGGGCGGUUCUGGAUAUUAAAUGGAUAGCCCAAUUUUCUGGAAAAUUUCCUGGUUUUCCCUGCAGCUUGUUUAUAAACAUGAUGAUAAUUUUCCAGAAUUCUUGUCUGGUUCAAUAGAAAUUUUAUUUUCCAAAGUUUUAAAAUAAACAGAAGUGCAGAUGUACCCAAAACAGCUGGUUAAAUUUUAACCCACAAGUAGCACUAAUCCAGCUAAAGCUUUGAACCACUGGCCUCAGGGGCCGGUUUUUCAAAGCUGGGUUAGCUUAACCCUAUUUUAACAACUAAAAUUCAAAGCAAACUUCCUUUAUCAGUCGAAAGUGAUUAUUUAGAACUGAAUUUAUAAAAGUGGUGGGAAUCGAACCCGCAACCUUUGGGAUACUAGUCCAAUGGUCUGCCAAGUGAGCUAUGUGGUCAAGUCUGUUUGAGUUGAUGAUAUUUCAGAACCGAGUCUAGUUCCUUCGAUCAUAUCAUAGAAUACACUGAUAUCGAAAGAACUAGUCUUCCGAAAUAUCAUCAACCGACUUGACCAUGUAGCUCAGUUGCCAGAGCAUUGGACUAGUAUCCCAAAGCUUGUGGGUUCGAUUCCCACCAUGGCCAAGCAAACUUUUCAGCUGGUGUGGAUAUACAUUCAGAGUAACAUUGCAAACAUAAUUUUCUGAAAGUUUUGACGAUUAUUUUGGGGCAGUACACAGUGGUCCCCAGCCUAGGGUUGUCUUUACCAAUGCCAAUAUAAAUCUUAUUGGCAUAGAGAAUUAUACAUUUGGCAUAACAAUUUUGUAUGGUGCAUUCAUUCUAUUGACCAAUCAGGGAGAUUCUUUUGUAAAUACCCACACCAAUCAGAAGUCUGUAUUUUUAUGCUAAAACAGAAAUUAGCAUCCCAGAUAGUAAAUUAUAUUCAAGGCGUGUUGCAGCUCUAUAUCCUGCCGUUGCAAGUUGCUUUGCGUUUGAUGUUUGUUCUGGGAUAAAAUAUUGAAUUAUACCUUAAGGUGGCUCGAUAUAGUUAUCACAAAAACCCUGCUCACUAAGAGUCGCGAACUCAAAACCGGGUGAUCAUUUUUACGCGCAGGUCGUGGAAACUGAUUAACAAAAUGAAAGAACUUCUAAAAUGACCUGACGUCAGCAGUUGGUCGCGCCAUAUCACGUCAUUGCGUGUGUUCUAUAGUGUUUUAUGUCAAUUGCUGACGUCAUUAGAAUUUUCCAUUAUAGAAAAACAAUGCGCUAUAUCUCUUUAUUUUGUCUGGUGACCUAUGUUCAAAUUUUGCAUGCUGUGUAUUGCACCGCUAAAAACUUUCAUUAUACAAAAAAUAAAAAAAUUCUGUAAUGCCAAAAAAAAUUUACCGAAGAAUAUGACAUUUUCGCAUUUUCCAAAAAAAUGGCAUUACAGAAUUUUUUUAUAUUUUGCUAAAUGUUAGCUUUUCAUCGAAGUAACAUAAUGCACGCAAAAAAAUUGGGGGUCACCAUGCUUUUUUUCCAACUAUACGAGACGAUAGGCCAUUUUGGAGUGAAUUUCGUACACGUAUGUCGUCAUAGCAACGAACUAUAUGUUACUAAGACUUAUAUAAUUUGAAAGUUGAGAUAUCAAAAUAUAUAAAAACCUCAAUAUCUGCUGAAUAAAUCCUAAAAAUGCGUAGUUUGAACAUGUCAAAGUGUUGAACACCUGAAUUUUUGAAAACUGUAUCGAGCCACCUUAAUUAAUUUAAAUUAAUAAUGUUUCGUGAAGUUUAGUUCAAAUUAAUAGAGAGAUGAGUGCAUAAAGUAUUUAGGGUAUUUUGAAGCUAAAUUUGUUUUAAAAUUCGUCAUUUUAGUGAAAUGGUGUGGAGCACAAUGCGUUCUUUUCUACUUGUCCUGGUUGUUGUAAAGAGACAUCGGGCAUUGUAAUGAAUAGAUGAAAAUGUGUAGCUGGCAAACCUACACCAUGUGCAUUUCUUGGUGGAUAUCUUGGGCAAAUGUGCAAUAUGAUAGAUAUCUUGGGCAAAUAUCUUGUAUAAAUUUGUACAUUACCUUAAAUUACUAAAGAAGGAUGAUGUUUUAAGGUUAGUGGAUAUUUAUAAUAGUGAUAAAAUGGGGGUUCCCUGUGAAUAGGAACGAAGUAAGGCUGUCCAAUUAAGUGGAAACAAUAUUGCGGC